RNAcentral lists this ribosomal RNA (401 nucleotides) under uncultured bacterium. Its description in RNAcentral is "bacterial SSU rRNA". It matches the Rfam family "Bacterial small subunit ribosomal RNA", at positions 355 to 774 of the family's 1533-position model. The record is from RNAcentral.
UGGGGAAUCUUGCACAAUGGGGCAACCCUGAUGCAGCGACGCCGCGUGAGCGAUGAAGCCCUUCGGGGCGUAAAGCUCUUUCGGCCGGAACGAUAAUGACGGUACCGGGAGAAGAAGCUGCGGCUAACUACGUGCCAGCAGCCGCGGUAAUACGUAGGCAGCAAGCGUUGUUCGGAGUUACUGGGCGUAAAGAGUGCGUAGGCGGUUUUCUAAGUUCGGUGUGAAAUCUCCCGGCUUAACUGGGAGGGUGCGCCGAAGACUGGGAAGCUGGAGUGUGGGAAAGGCAGGCGGAAUUCCUGGUGUAGCGGUGAAAUGCGUAGAUAUCAGGAGGAACACCGGCGGUGUAGACGGCUUGCUAGACCAUAACUGACGCGGAGGCACGAAAGCGUGGGUAGCAAACA